Suricata suricatta (meerkat) is the source of this 195-nucleotide small nuclear RNA. Its record names the gene U2. It matches the Rfam family "U2 spliceosomal RNA". From Rfam's summary of the family: U2 is a small nuclear RNA (snRNA) component of the spliceosome (involved in pre-mRNA splicing). Complementary binding between U2 snRNA (in an area lying towards the 5' end but 3' to hairpin I) and the branchpoint sequence (BPS) of the intron results the bulging out of an unpaired adenosine, on the BPS, which initiates a nucleophilic attack at the intronic 5' splice site, thus starting the first of two transesterification reactions that mediate splicing. The record is from Ensembl. Lineage: Eukaryota; Metazoa; Chordata; Mammalia; Carnivora; Herpestidae.
AUCACUUCUCAGCCUUUUGGCUACAAUCAAGUGUAGUAUCUGCUAUCAUGAGUUUAAUGUCUGAUAGAUAUGUCCUCUCUCUGAAGAAAACAUAUUACAAGGAUUUUUGGCACCAGGAGAUGGGAUAGGAGCUUGCGCCAUCUGCUCCGUGCAUCGACCUGUGUUUGUAGUAUUCCCAGGAACGGUGCACCUUUU